RNAcentral lists this ribosomal RNA (1713 nucleotides) under Triticum aestivum (bread wheat). Its description in RNAcentral is "partial small subunit ribosomal RNA". The record is from RNAcentral. Lineage: Eukaryota; Viridiplantae; Streptophyta; Magnoliopsida; Poales; Poaceae.
AUGGCACCGCCGCCUCGCCUCCUCCCUCUCCUCCUCGGUCGCCUCCUCGUCUCCGGCGACCUCCUCCGCAACACCGCCCACCUCCGCCGCAUCGUGCCCCUCCUCCCUUCCCACCCCCACCUCGCCGCCUCCCUCUCCAGCCUCUACUUCCCGCUCUUCCCCUCCUCAUGCAUCUUCCUCCACAACCUGCUCAUCCGAGCCUCCGCAACCUCCCCGUCUCCUCGCAUCGCCUUCGCCGCCUUCUCCUCCAUUCUCCGCUCUGGCGAUGCUCCCGACCGAUUCACCUUCCCUUCCCUCCUCAAGUCGGCGUCCAGGCUCGCCUCUUUCCCGCGCACGGGCGCGCAGGUGCACGCGCAGGCCGUCCGGCGCGGCUUCUUGAUCGACGUCUUUGUCGUCAAUGCGCUCCUCGCGAUGUACGCCGCCUUCCGGGACACGGCAUCCAUGCGGGAGGUGUUCGAUUCGUGCGCAGGGGUCACCGACGUGGUGUCUUGGAACACGGUGCUCGGUGGCUAUGUGAAGUGCGGGGACAUCAGGAACGCCCAGAUGGUGUUCGAGGAAAUGCCACAGAGGAAUGGGGUGUCCUGGAGCGCGAUGGUUGGGGCAUACGCCGGUUCUGGCGAGUUGGAUGUGGCCAGGGAAAUGUUCGAUGAGAUGCCGGCCAUUGGGAGGAACAUUGUGACAUGGAACUCGAUGAUAACAGGAUUCGCGCGGCAUGGGCUACUGCCACUGGCUAGGAAGAUGUUCGAUGAGAUGCCGGUACGGAAUCUGGUAUCGUGGAACACAAUGAUCCGGGGGUAUGCAGUGAACGGUGAGAUGGAUGGUGCACGGAAGCUGUUUGAUGUGAUGCCGGAGAAAGACGUGGUUUCCUGGACGUGCAUGAUUUCUGGGUAUGCACAGGCUGGACGCUACGCAGAAACCCUUGAGCUGUUUAGGGAAAUGCAGAGCGAGAGCAGUGCCCGUCCUAAUGAGGUGACCAUGGUGAGCGUGCUUUCAGCAUGUGCACAUUUAACAGCUCUGGAAGAAGGGAGGUGGGCUCACACUUACAUUGACAAGCACAAGAUGGUGCUCGACAAUGAGUUCAAUCUCGGUGCUGCCCUCAUUGACAUGUAUGCCAAGUGUGGGAAAACCGACAUGGCUGUCAAAAUCUUCUACUCGUUGGACCAGAAGAAUGUCUCCGCCUGGAAUGCACUCAUCACUGGGUUGGCAGUGAAUGGUGAUGUUCAGGAUUGCAUCGGUGUGUUUGAGCAGAUGAAGAGGUCAGGAGAGAAACCGAAUGACAUAACGUUCGUUGGUGUGCUGACUGCUUGUGCCCACAGCGGGCUGGUGGAUGAGGGUCGACGGUGCUUUCAGAGCAUGUCAUCUACUUGCAGAGUGCAGCCAGAGGCAAAGCAUUAUGGCUGCAUGGUUGACAUGUUAGGCCGAGCAGGGCUUCUUGAAGAGGCAGAGGAGCUGAUAAGGACCAUGUCGAUGGCCCCAGAUGUCAUGGUUUUGGGAGCACUACUAGGUGCCUGUCGAAUGCACAAGAGAUUUGAUGUGGCUGAAAGAGUCCAGAGUGAAAUUAUUGGUCUCAACACACGGCAGGCUGGCUGCCAUGUCUUGAUAUCAGACGUUUAUGCUGCUGCUGGCAAAUGGGGAGAGGCUUUAGAUGCAAGGCGUGUUCUUCAGAAGUGCACAAUCAGGAAAUUGCCAGGAUCAUCCAGCUCGAUGCGAUAG